GCGAACGUUGUUCGGAAUCACUGGGCUUAAAGGGCGCGUAGGCGGGCUGUCAAGUCUGGGGUGAAAUCCCACGGCUCAACCGUGGAACUGCCUUAGAUACUGACGGCCUCGAGGGAGAUAGGGGCGAGCGGAACUGUGAGUGGAGCGGUGAAAUGCGUUGAUAUUCACAGGAACUCCGGUGGCGAAGGCGGCUCGCUGGAUCUUUUCUGACGCUGAGGCGCGAAAGCUAGGGGAGCAAACGGG
Molecule: ribosomal RNA, 243 nt
Filed under: uncultured bacterium
Lineage: Bacteria
Description: partial 16S ribosomal RNA
Rfam family: Bacterial small subunit ribosomal RNA
Source: RNAcentral